UUUCUGUCUUGCCGAUUUUUAGCAUUGGUGGGGUGGGGAAGUCUACCCUGGCUCAGUUCAUCUACAAUGAUCCAAGGGUGCAAGCUCACUUUGGCAAGAGGAGGGUAUGGGUCUGUGUUUCAGACCUCUUUGACAAGAGAAGAAUAACAAAAGAGAUCAUUGAGUCUUUCACCAAGGAAGAGUAUAAGCCACUGUUCAGUUUAGAUGCUCUUCAGGUGGAAAUGAUGGAGCAGCUAGGGAGACGAAAGUUCCUUUUGGUGUUGGAUGACAUUUGGCAAGAAGCUAUUGACGAGUGGGAGUCAUUUUAUGCACCAUUCAAGAACGGACCUAAAGGCAGUAUGAUCUUAGUAACUACAAGAUUUACAACUGUUGCUGAUCGUGUUGCCACCAACAAUUGUAAGCCUAUCCAACUCGAAGGCUUGGAUAGAGAUAUAUUUUGGGAGUUCUUCAGCAAGUGUUCAUUUGGAGAAGAGCGUCCAGAAUCAUAUCCUCAAUUGCAAGAUAUUGGUCACAACAUUGCCUCUAGGUUAUGUGGAUCUCCUUUGGCUGCCAAAACUAUUGGACGUUUGUUGAAUAUGGAGCUGACCGUGCAACAUUGGGAGACAGUUCGGAACAGUGAAUUGUGGGAGCUGCCACAUCGAGAGAAUGAGAUAUUACCGGCCCUCCAACUGAGCUACUUAUAUCUCCCACAAGAACUUAAGAGAUGCUUUGCAUUUUGCUGCAUGUUUCCAAAAGAUUACAGCUUUGAACGAGAUGAGAUCGUUGACAUUUGGGUGGCCGAGGGCUUUGUUGUGUCAAGUGGAAGCACACGUCUUGAAGAUAUGGGGAUUAGGUAUUUGGAUGAUUUGAGGAGCAGGUUUCUUUUUCAAACCGACCCCAAGUAUCCUAAUCGAACUAGAUAGGUCAUGCAUGACUUGAUCCAUGAUAUGGCGCAAUCCGUUUCUGUGGAUGAAUGCCUCUUGAUGCAAGAUUUGAGGUCUCGGAAUGAGAGGAGAAUGCUAUAUGCAGUUCGCCAUAUGUCAGUCGAGGUCGCUGAUGAAUCCCUGAAGAGCGGAAUGAGAGGCAUUCAGGAUUUGAACAAAUUACAUUCACUUAGGUUUGGAAUCAAUUUCAAUGUUGAGAUUACCUGGUUCAAUCAGCUCUCCAACAUCCUAUAUUUGAGCCUAAAGGGUUGCACGGUGGUCAAGCUACCUGAGAGCAUAGGCGAGUUGAACAGUCUCCGUUAUCUUGAUAUUUCUUAUAGCGGUGUACAAGAAUUGCCGGAGAAAUUCUGGUGCCUUUACAGCCUAUAGGUUGUUGAUGCAAAUGGUUCAAGUCUAAAAGCAAUUAGUCCGGAUGUCAUAAAGCUAAUCAACUUGCAUCGUCUAGCAUUGCCAACAGGUUGCUCUCCAAAGUUAUCAGAGAUAAGUAGGCUUGGAAAUCUGUCUCGUCUACGGAACUUGCAAUAUUUUAUAGUUGAAACAGGGGAUGGGCGGAAAAUUGGUGAGUUGAGGGGCAUGAAUCAGCUCAGUGUAGCUCUACUUAUUAGUUCUAUUUGUAAUGUUAAGAACGAGGAAGAGGCCGCUGAGGCUAGCCUUGUUGAAAAACGGUACCUCCAGAAUCUAGUUCUACAAUGGCGAAAGAAAGUCACAAGUUUAGUGAAGAGUAGUGAGAAUGGAGUGCUCGAAGCCUUGCAUCCUCCACCAAGAAUUGAACACCUUACAGUCCAAGGUUUUGGGGGUGAUAGCUUUUCUCCUAGUUGGUUUAGACUAGAGAGCCUGCUGACUUUAAGGAGCCUGGUGCUUUUCCAUUGUGGCGUCUUGAAAAAUCUGUCAAUCCCAUCGUUUCCUUCCCUCGAACUUCUAAUGCUAUCAGGAAAUAUUUGGCUGAAAACAGUAACAAUUCUUGGUGGUUCGACUGGUGGUGAAACGAUGCAGCAUGCAAGCAGCAGUAGCAGUAGCAGCAAUGGCACAACAUGUCUUAGUGGACUCACCUAUAUAGGUCUUUACAGUUGUGAGGACCUGCAGAAUCUUGAUCGGUGCUUGUCCCCGGAAUACUUGCCAUCCAUCAAGUCCAUAGAGAUCGACAGCUCCAGCGAUCUAGGACUGUCAAUGCCUGUCGAUAGUUUCGUGGGAUUCAAAUACCUACAAGAUCUGAAAAUCCACUGCAAAUUGUUAUGCCCGCAGGGAAUGGUUUUGCCACCCUCACUCCGACGACUCUCUAUUGUGUCUGGCCGUAAGGUUGACUUCCCGGCCUGCCUACAGAGCCUCACCUCUCUCAACAUCCUGCAUUUGUCUAGCUGCGAUGGCAUGGAGUCCAUUCCGCUGGGCACAAAUCUUUAGGUCAAAUGCCUGCUUCUCGAGCGGUGCUCGGAGCUGUCAUCCAUUGGAGGAUCACACGUUCUUUCAUCCAUGCAGUUCGUGAGCAUAUCGAUCUGCCCAAAGCUGCACGAAGUAGAGCAGCCCUUUAAAAAGUGCCUGCUGACUAAUAAGGACAAGAAGGAACUGCUUCAAUUUACCUAUCACUUAUAUGGAUAAAGCAUAGCUGAUUUCUAAAGACUUCCGGGGUAUUUUUCUUCACGCUGCGGCACCCAGAGCCUUCUGUUGAUAAUUGAGCGUUGGCUGGUUUGGGUGAGCCGUCGACGUGUGCCUUGAGAUUGAAAUGGCCGAGAAGAACAAAGAAAAGUUCACACCAUGUAGAGAGUUGGAGGGUGAGCGGUGGAUGUGGUUUUUGAUGUUAGAAACGAGUGCGAAAGCGGGAGCAGGUCUGGGGUUAGCCAUGGCGGGAUCUGCCGAGGUGCAUGAGCAGACUUUCUUCUGAUACUAUGAAGAGAUUUUCUUCUGUUCAGCAGGUAGCCCGGUAACAAAUCUCUGCCCUUCGUUCUAUCCGAUCAGACGAUUGGCAAGGUGUGGUACCUCCAGAUACAUAUUUGCCCAUGAGGUGGUACCGGCAGUGUUGAGAGAGGUGGAAGGUGCUUGAAUCCCCUCUGUCCGAUGAGUGGUAACAGCGGUGGCUUGUCCAUGGGCAACUGUGGCGGCGAGGUGGUGGCGGCCGUGGCGGUGAGGUGGUGUUGGCGGCGGCUGGUGCGUGAGCGGCCGUGGCAGCGAGGUGGUGGCGGCCGCGGUGUUGAGGUGGUCAUGGAGUCGUUAGAGCUGGCGAUGUUGUGGCAGCGGCGGGGGCUUUGGCGGCUGCAGUGACGAGGUGGUCGUGGAGCGAGGUGGUGGUGGCCGCGGUAUCGUGGUAGUCAUGGAGUCGUUGGAGCCGGUGAUGUGGUGGCGGCGGUGGGGACUUUGGCAGCUGUCGGCGGCCACAGCGGCAUAGUGGUGGUGCUCCAGUUGUCCUCUGAAGCUCUAGGACUUUUCGUUUGCUGUUGCUGCGAUGCCGGUGAUCAAGGAUAUUGCCGAUGCGUAGUGGUAUUACAUAAGUUGUACGCUGAAGUGUGUUGAUAGGAGGAUGACACUCUGAUUGGAGUAGAUCUGGCAUCCAAGAGUACAAAAGACAUUCAAGCAGCUUUGGCACUUGCUGGAACAUGUCAAUCUGGGUACACUGGUGGAGAAACCAUCUUUGGUCCGUCGGCCGAAAUCCACAAUAGUUCCGGUUCCACUAAAAACCGAGACUAAAGAUGAUCUUUAGUAUGAAGCUAGAGCUGGAAAUGGCGGACCGUUUUUAGACAUGGAAAUUUCACUCAAGAAGUUGUCCAAGCAGGAAAAGGAGACCAAUGACAUUAGAAAUUGGUUCAUAGGAAUAAUAGUUCUAGCUGUGCUCCUUCUCAUGAAAUUAUUUGAUAAUAUGUACUAUGACUACCGUUGUUGAUUUUCUGGAUGUUAAAAUGGAAAAAAAUUUAGUCAUAUUGCUAGAUGUUAUUAGCUAUGCUAAAUCACAACAUAUUCCCCAACUUACAAUAUCAAUAUCAAUUUUUAACUCAA
Molecule: RNA transcript, 3905 nt
Organism: Oryza sativa Japonica Group (Japanese rice)
Lineage: Eukaryota; Viridiplantae; Streptophyta; Magnoliopsida; Poales; Poaceae
Source: RefSeq, a predicted model, not a curated record